UAAUAGUACAUUACGAUACAAGUGCGAAAAAUAGGAAAUUCGAAACGAGUGGCGAUAAAUUAAAACACGACCGAAGGGAGUGUUUUAAAUCGACACGAGUUGCGAAUUACCUAUUCGCACAUGUAUCGUACAACGUUUUACAGUACAUAUGGCCCUUUAAAUGUUCGACACAGUAACAUAAUAUGCUACUUCUCGCACUAGUGCUAUAAAGUAGCCCCAUAUGUACUGUAAAAUUUGUAUUAAAAUCGAACGAAAACAAACAAAUUUAAUAUACUCGUAACUCUGUUAAAAUAAAAAAUAAAAACAUUCUGAUAAUUUCGCGUUUAUAAAUCAUAACACUAUGGAUAAUAGCUUACACAACAAAAACAAAAAGAAAAUCAGAACGGUACACAAAAUUUAAUCAUAAUAAAAAAUAAAGAAAUGUACAACAUAAUUUCCACAGGUAAAGUCUAAUCAGUAAUUUAUGAUCAUUGUCAAGAGGACGCUGUUAUUCUCAUUUAUAUAGUGACAGCUCAGUAUAGUGUGGGAAAUGUAGUAUUUAAAUUCCGCAACAGGGUGCGUGAUCCUAUAAACACUAAAAUGAAAUCAAUUAGGUAAAUAAUAAAUACUCACCACAUGCAUUUCCGAUCAUAGGACGCGACGAGCAAGUUGUCUCCGGCAGGGUGCACGGCCAUUGAGCUUAUCCA
This is a long non-coding RNA of Cydia pomonella (codling moth), 686 nucleotides long. RefSeq lists it as uncharacterized. The transcript has 2 exons. The record is from RefSeq and is a predicted model, not a curated record. NCBI's taxonomy places the organism in Eukaryota, Metazoa, Arthropoda, Insecta, Lepidoptera, Tortricidae.